Molecule: RNA transcript, 1480 nt
Organism: Enhydra lutris kenyoni (northern sea otter)
Lineage: Eukaryota; Metazoa; Chordata; Mammalia; Carnivora; Mustelidae
Gene name: keratin, type I cytoskeletal 18 pseudogene
Exons: 1
Source: RefSeq, a predicted model, not a curated record
CUGGUGUAAUCCAGAUAAAGUGUAUGUAGUAGAGUUAGUAGUAUUGUACCAGUGUUAAAACCUUCGUUUUGGCUGGCCCGAGCCCGAGUCCUGGCCUCUCAUCUUACUCUCCGAACAACAUGAGCUUCACCACCCACUCCACCUUCUCUUCCAACUAUCAGUCCCUGGGCUCCAUGCAGUUGCCCAGCCACCGGGUCCGGCCCAUCAGCAGCGUGGCCAGCGUCUAUGCAGGCGCCGGAGGCUCAGGCUCCCGGAUCUCCGUAUCCUGCUCCACCAGCUUCCGGGGCGGCUGGGGGUCCGGGGGCCUGGCCACGGGGUUGGCCGCCGGGAUGGCGGGGGGUCUGGCCGGCAUAGGGGGCAUGCAGGGCAAGAAGGAGACCAUGCAAGACCUGAAUGACCGCCUGAUCUCCUACCUGGUGAGGGUGAGGAGCCUGGAGGCAGAUUAAUCAGAGACUGGAGGUGAGAAUCCGGGAAUACCUGGAUAAGAAGGGACCCCAGGUCAGAGACUGGGGGCAUUACUUCAAGACCAUCGAGGAGCUGAGGUCUCAGAUUUUUGCAACUUCUGUGGACAAUGCCUGCAUCGUUCUGCAGAUUGACAAUGCCCGUCUUGCUGCUGAUGACUUCAGAGUCAAGUAUGAGACAGAGCCGGCCAUGCGCCAGUCCAUGGAGAGUGACAUCCACGGGCUUCGCAAUGUCAUCGAUGACACCAAUGUCACUAGGCUGCAGCUGGAGACAGAGAUUGAGGCUCUCAAGGAGGAGUUGCUCUUCAUGAAGAAGAACCAUGAGGAGGAAGUAAAGGGUCUACAGAACCAAAUUGCCAACUCCGGGUUGACUGUGGAGUUGGAUGCCCCCAAGUCUCAGGACCUCAGCAAGAUCAUGGCAGACAUCCGGGCCCGGUAUGACGAGCUGGCUCGGAAGAACCGAGAGGAGCUGGACAAGUACUGGUCCCAGCAGAUUGAGGAAAGCACCACAGUGGUCACCACACAGACCACGGAGAUAGGAGAGGCUGAGAUGACCCUCACGGAGCUGAGACGUACCGCCCAGUCCUUGGAGAUCAACCUGGACUCGAUGAGAAACCUGAAGGCCAGCUUAGAGAACAGCCUUAGGGAGGUCGAAACCCGAUACGCCAUGCAGAUGGAGCAGCUCAACGGGGUCCUGCUGCACCUGGAGUCUGAGCUGUCCCAGACCCCGGCAGAGGGGCAGCGCCAGGCCCAGGAGUACAAAGCCCUGUUGAAUGUCAAGGUCAAGCUGGAGGCUGAGAUCGCCACCUACCGUCGCCUGCUGGAAGAUGCGGAGGACUUCAGUCUCAGUGACGCCCUGGACAGCAGCAGCUCCAUGCAGACCAUCCAGAAAACCACUACCCGCAGGAUUGUGGACGGCAAGGUCGUGUCUGAGACCAAUGACACCAAAGUUCUGAGGCGUUGAGGGAGCAGAAGCAGGGUACCCUAUGGGGAGCAGGAGGCCAAUAAAAAGUUCCAAG